CAGUAGUUUUUUAAUUGAGAACUUGUAUGAAUGGUUUAACGAAAUAUUUUCUGUUUCAUAAAAAUUUAUAUAGAAAUUAAUUUUUUAGUUAAAAAGCUAAAAUAUUAUUAAAAGACGAGAAGACCCUAUAGAAUUUUAUAAAAAUUUUUUUUUAGAUUAAUUAGAUUUUUAUUAUUUAUAAUUUAAUUUUUAUUUUGUUGGGGUGAUAAUAAAAUUUAAAAAACUUUUAUGUAUAUUAUACAAUGAUUUUUGUUUAGUUGAUCCAUUUUUAUUGAUUAUAAGUUUAAAUUACCUUAGGGAUAACAGCGUAAUUUUUUUGGAGAGUUCUUAUCAAUAAAAAAUUUUGC
RNAcentral lists this ribosomal RNA (347 nucleotides) under Garrettella shermani. Its description in RNAcentral is "partial 16S ribosomal RNA". Lineage: Eukaryota; Metazoa; Arthropoda; Insecta; Diptera; Mycetophilidae. The record is from RNAcentral.